Long non-coding RNA from Centropristis striata (black sea bass), 1514 nucleotides. RefSeq lists it as uncharacterized. The transcript has 3 exons. NCBI's taxonomy places the organism in Eukaryota, Metazoa, Chordata, Actinopteri, Perciformes, Serranidae. The record is from RefSeq and is a predicted model, not a curated record.
AUUAAUCUUACAUUGUCACAAAUUAAUCCCCCCCCAAAAAACAACACAAUGUGUUAGUUCUCUGUAGUUUCUUUAAAUUUACCAUCUACCAUUCACAGUUAUUAUAUAUAUUAUAUUAUAUUAUUAUUAUACCAGAACCUGUCCUGUGUUGUUUUGUCUCUUUAGAGGUUUGUGAGAUCAACGAGUCACCAGAAACUGAUGAAGGCGUCUAUGACGUUCCUCUGUCCUACAGGAGAACCCAUCAACAUCACAACCCGACAGAGAGCGUCUAUGACGUGCCGAGCUCCCUGAUGAUGAGGAUGAUUCCUGAUCACACCAGAGAGGAGCAGCAGGACGACGGCGUCUACUGGGCGCUCUGAGGUCUGAGACGCCACUAACAGCCACAUCUGACUCUCCGUACGUUUAACCUUUAGACACAGAAGAGCUGAAGCCUCAUACCUGUCAGAGUGUAAAUAGUGUUUGAAUGCUAGGAGACAACAUGCACGACCACAACAAAUAGGUUGAAGUUGGGGUUUUUAUUUCAGCUCCCUCGACACAAGACCCAUAUCAUCAUUUAUAGCUGUAGAGACACUGCACAGAAAUAUCACUCUGUGGCUCACUCACACUGGUUCACAACAGGACAAUGACUCAUUUACAUGACGCCUACAUGCUUCACAGUUUAAACGUUUACACCACCAACCAUAUUGCUGUGUUACACACUUUGGACUGGUUCAACUGGGAAUGGUUACAGCUUGUGUUUAAAACCCUUUUUAAUGGGUUUAAUGGAAUAUAAAAACAAGUUGCAGGUACACAAUGAAAGGAAAAUAAAACGUUUAGGCAUGCCAACAUUUACUCUGUUAUGUCUCUUCUACUUUAAAGGCAUACUAUGCAGGAAUUGUACUUACUGUUUGUAAACACAACAUUUAAACUUGGCCACGCCUCCUCGGCUCAAACCCAACAUUUACUCUUGUUUUAGAGCAAGCUGUAGCGCUGUCGAAAACAAAUGCAAAAUACACUAAACACAAGCAAACUGAGAAAACAUCUUCCUCAAUUUGACAACACAAGAGCAGCAUUUAGAAAACGCUGCAAAGACCACAACACAACAGAAGUGUUUCCAGAGGACACUUAAAAGUGAUGCACACGUCUGGACACGCUUGAUAUUAUCACGUUAUUUCAAGAUAAUUAUAAUUUCACGUUAUAACUUCAUAACGAUGAUAGCAUGCUAACGUUAACAGCCGAUCAAUAGCAUGUUAACAUUAGCAGGCAAUCAAUAGCAUGCUAACGUUAGCGGCUGAUCUAUAGCAUGUAAAACGUUAGCCGAUGAUCGAUAGCAUGUUAACGUUAGCCAGUAAUCGAUAGCAUGUUAAUGUUAGCCGGCAAUCGAUAGCAUGCUAACGUUAACUGCCGAUUGAUAGGAUGCUAAGAUUAGCCGGCGAUCGCUAGCAUGUUAACAUUAGCCGGCGAUCGCUAGCAUGUUAACAUUAGCCGGCGAUUGCUAGCAUGUUAACAUUAGCCGGCGAUCGAUAGCAUGUUAA